CGUUCACCUCGUGCGCGUUCGGGUGCCGCGGCUUCGAGGGCUCCCGCAACCAGUGGGCGCAGGCCGCGGCCGCCGUGCAGGUCUCGGCGGCGGACGGC
Molecule: transfer RNA, 98 nt
Filed under: Phytohabitans houttuyneae
Lineage: Bacteria; Bacillati; Actinomycetota; Actinomycetes; Micromonosporales; Micromonosporaceae
Description: tRNA-Ser
Source: RNAcentral